AUCCCAAGAAAGAACCGAAGGAAAAAAAAAAACCAAAACAAACGAACAAAAAAAAAAAAAAAAAAAAAAAAAAAAAAAAGAAAGAAACCAAGAGACAGACUGUUACCUAACUUUUUGCCCCAAACACAAUCUACAACAACUCUGAAGACAGGAAAAAGUAAUUUUAAGUGCGCUUUCAAGAAGCACAUGCAUAAUGUUAAAAAAAAAAAAAAUAACACAAAGCUAACCACUCCAAGCUUUCCCCUAUCAGACAUCCAUGAGAAGGGCUCAUAAAUCAGCCCAACUAAAUAACGCCAUCAAUGCCAAAAAACAACCUUAAGUGCCAGCUCCGAAAAAAACAGCGCGAGGAAGGCUUCCAAAUGGUUAGGAAAUAAAACUAAACUAAACCAAGAGUGCAAUAUGCAAGGAGCAAACCCAGCAAAAGGAUGUAGCUCAUAAUGCACUGCUUGGAAAGACACCCAACUACCCCUCUGCCUCCUCCGGGGUGCAGCUGAACCGGGGACGGCUGGACUGAGACUCAGACCCCACUCAUGAAUCACCCCAGCAGCGCUGCUAUUAGGUUGAUUUAAAAAAAAGAGAAAAAAAAGUAUUUAAAAAAAAAGGGAGGAAAGUGAUUUUUUUGGGGAAAAUAAAAGCAUUUGCAGUAAUUGCGUUUCUCUUUCCCAGGAAUUAAGCCUCGCUGCAAGGAGGAGUCCCGCGUUUGCCAUCUCCAGAGAGAAGUCAGGGCAGCAGCUCCGCUCCGGCCGGAGCAGCCGUGCAGAAGCGCCCGUGCGGGAUCUCCCGGACCCAUGUCCCCAAGCUGGGCGGAGGAGCGCGGAAGCCGUGCCCGCACAGUCACCAUGCAGUGAGUGAUGAUCCCAGCCCAUCACUGCUCCUCUUGUCCAGCCACCAGCAGCUCAAUCCCUUUCCCCUGGAGCCUGUGCAGUGCCAGGCCUUGGCCAUCGUUGCUGAGCAGAUGUGUGUGACUGCCUGACCAGUGAGUUUGUCUCCCAGUCUUCAUUUGGACUCCUUGGGCUUCAAAUCGCUACCUGGAAAACUGCCGUGGUUGGAGCUGCAGUAGGCUGUUGGAUAAAUCUGUCCCAUCCUCGUCGCUUCAUCUGGGAUUCUCAAAGAUAUUCACACAUCAGAGAAGGGAUGUAGUACUUCCCCUGAAGGAGGAGAGCAAGAUGAUGUGGCCAACUAGGAACUACAGAACUGAUCAUGUUUGUUAAAUCUUGGCAGCAAGAGAAGAUGCAUCCUCAGGAAAUCACAAACCUCUCAGGACGUGUUAUUUUCCAUCAGCAGUAAGCAGCACUGAUGUGUGCAGUUCUGGGAGGACAGAGCUGAAACAAGACAAGAAGAAAAGCUGCAGAAGUAAAAUUGCCUCUAAAGCUCCUUUAAAAUGCACAGGACAGGAGGGAACAAGUGGACAUUGAUUAUGAUGAAACCUUUUGCUUCCUGUACUGUUUGGCAUUCCUUAAUAUGUCCUGAUGGCUUUGAUUUCCUCUCCUCCAUUGCAGAAUCAAAGAAUGCUGCACCAACACAAUGCUGUCCACAUCUGGAUGCCACAGGGAAAAUGAUCUGAGUGCCCAGUGAACCUUAUUGCCACAGAGAACCUGGCAGAACUCAUCACACCUUGUAGCUGACACCUUCCUGUGGCAGGCUCAGGUCUUCUCUGUUUCCUUGAACCUUUCAAGAGCUCUAGCUUGACCACACUUGUGUUGUACUAUGGAGUGCCUAGAAAAUAUAGAUGCCCUAACUUGUGACAAGUUUAGCUCAGCGUGGGAGUGUGUGCAUGAAGAGCAGGAGCUCAGACACACCACUCAUCCCCCAGCUCUGUACUUGGGCUUGCAGCGAUGCGAACACACCUGCAGGCAGCACGAGGCCAUUGAUUCCUGGUCCGUAAGCACCGAGGCCUGCUCGGCCUCCUGCCCCACGGAAACCAGCAGUGGGGCGCUCGCUGCAGACAGAGCCCUCCGAGAGAGGAACUGAGAAAUAACGGCCUGGCUUGGAUGGAGCAAGAGAGAAUGGCACGGUGUCUGGCAAGAAAGAGGCCCUCACUCAGGUUCCCAGAGCAAGGCUACAACAUGUCUGGCUCCAUGACUUAAUUGAGUGGUGAUGAGUCCAGAGAAAGGCACUGUCUGUUAUCCAGCAAACCACAUCCUAGUGGAAGAUUGCUUGGAGGGUGUUUGAUACUGUAAUAUCUGAGAGAAAUGAUCCAAACGAAACCAUAACCAAGGCAGAGCAAUGUUCAGCAAGGGAUUUACAGGUGUGCCAGCUACUGUCAACCAAACCACGGUGCUCUGGGAUUCAAACAGCACUAAGGAGUCAACCUGCUGUGUGCCACAGUAUCUGCAGCUGCCUCAGGGUACUUUGGUGGGAGCCCUUCAAAUCUUUAUGCUCAGAACAGCACCUGUAUCAUAAGGACUUCAUAAAAUCCCAUUUAAAUUGCUCCAUUCUGUACUACAGCCUUGAAGGUCGUGCCGCUGCUGUUGUGCUUCUGAGUCCUAAUGCUAGAAAUGAAAAGGUUCAGAGAACUGACACCAAGGAAAGGCCCAAAGCUGCACUCUGCUCCUGACAGCUUCUCUUUACACCACCGUUUUUCCUCUGAGCAUGUUCCAGUGUCUCUGCACUCCCAGUCCUCCUGCAGCAGCUGGGGCCAGCCAAAGAAGGCUAUCGUAGCCUGGCGUUCCUUCUGGGAGCUUCUCACAGCACAAGCAACCUCCUUUCCAGCAGAUCACAGGUGUUCUCCACAUGAUGUGAGCAGUCUGGGAGAGGAAAUUCUGCAAUUCCACUCUGGACUCAGGAAAGGGAGGUUGUACCAAGUUUUCUGUGCUGAGAGAAAAUACAAAAGGCUCCCCUUUGCAAUCAUGCCUGAUUGACCAUUACCAGGAAAUCAGAAAUGUGAAGCCAGACUGGUACUGAGCAGUACAACCUAAGACUGAAGAUGUUUGAGUUGCUGUGUCUCAGCACCAUAAGCUGGUACUGCUUAAAGAGAUGCCAUGGUAAGAUUCACUGCAAAGCACAGGUGGAGAUUAAAAGGUGAGUAUGGUGCUUAGAUGUGAGCCAGAGAAGUGGAUGAUGAGGCAGGAAUUCACAGGAACUACAAACCCUUAUAGGUGAGGAAACAGGGCAAGCACCUAAUGAAGACUUUAGGGUUAAAAACUACACUUAAAAGGACUUUUUCAAUGGAUUGGCACUUUUGUUCAUGUAAGUAGUUUUUAUGACUCAGUAUUUUGAGGUAAGGUUACAGCCUGGAUUGUCUAAAAUAAAUGCAUCUUGGAGCAGUUCAAUAUUGAGAAGCUGACAAUAUUUUAAGUUUUUCUGCCCCAGAUUCUUAAUUUAUUAUUGGAAAGUAUUAAUUACUCCUCUGCCACCAACCAUCCUACUGCUGAGACAUGCUUAGGAGAUACAAGUGAGAAAAAAACUUGAGACUCAAAAUUAUGUGUGUGUCGCCUUCAGAAAGAAAUUAGGGCAGAGAUAUGUGUGUUAUCCUAAAAGGUACUAAUAACAGAAAAAAACAUUUGUUUCUGCUGAUGUAUUAAAGGGUUUUGUCUAAGUAUCAGAUACUUAUUAAAGCUUAGUUUAUGUGAAGGUAAACUGCAGUCAGACUCAACUUCUUGUACUUAAUUAUGACAGGACACAGUGAAAAGUUGUGACUGUGACAUAAGAGCAAAGAAGCCUGUCACUCAGUUCCAUUUGGAAUGCUCUGACCUAGUGCUGUGUUUAGAGCAGAGAAGGGGAGUCCUGGUUUCCCCGGGGAUGGGAUGGUUGUGUCUCACAAUCAGGUGCCAUUUCAUGACCACCUUCCAUCAUGUUUCAGCCUGGGGUUAUGGAGGUCACAGGCAAAAUCAGGGCACUCACAUCACAGUUGCUGUGGCAGCUGAUCCUGCGAGCUCUGCCUGUUGCAAAGGCCAAAACCGGCAUCCCCACCUCUCUUCCCGUGUGGGACAAAGCCAGUGGCGUUGGUGGCACGUCCUGCCGGCUGAGCCCAGCAGGGGAGUCGUCACCUCGCCCGGCCAGCUCGCACUACACGCUGAGCCACCACGGGACUGGGUUUGGGGGGCGGACCUCCUCACCAGCUCUGCCCGCAAAGGCCCUGCCGAGUUCCGGGACAGAACUCCUGCUGGCUGGGGCACCGACAGCAUUUCACCCAGCUCUGAAUCUAGGGCAGCUCAUGGCCUGCCUGUUCCAGAGCACUGGGAAGCUUUCAGGUGUUGGAAGGGUUUGUGAAAGCGCAAUAACCGCGGAGGCCAGCAGUCAGGUUUUACCUUUUCCAUGGUAGUUACACUAGCUCCUUAUCUGGGAAAACAUUGCACAGGUUGGGGCUUUGCUGGAGAAUACUUAUAGAUCUCCCCUUAGCCUAAAUGUAUGAAUUAUAUUCAAAUUGCACAGGGAUAGCUUGUCCAUAAAUUCUGGUAAUAACAGCCAUGAAUAUUAUCUCACCAGUUAUAUACUUCCCUCCCCGCCUAUGUUCCCCAGUAGCUUGCAAAAGCUAUCACCAUAAAAUUUAGGGUGGGAUUUAACAUGGGAAUUUGGGCGCUUUAAUGUGAAAGAAGGCUUUGAAAAUCUCCCUCUUAGCAAACAACAGCUAAUAAUAACGAUAACAAUAAUUGAGAUAAGCCGAUUCAUAUCUCCCCACCCAAAAUAUUUAUAUAAUGAAUUAUCUAAUUGUAUUUUAUCUUCUGAUGAAUGGGUUGGUAGCCUUUGCUUUGCGACAACAGACUUGGAGGAGCUAUCGCUAUCGUGCAGCCUGAUGCCAAGAAUAUGUGUUAUUUCGUAUUCUGUUAUUUGCUUUGUGUUUAAGGUGUUGAGAGGAAAUUCCCCAGCAAUCAGCUCUAAGUGGUUUUGCAGUGAGCAAGUCUUUCAGUGCUUGAACAUCACUUAGUAGAGGAGGGGGAAAAGAAAAAAAAUCCCUUUAUUUGCUUUUUGUAAUUCAGGAAUUUGCCAUGUAUCUAAAGAAAAGCAUUAAAAAAAAGAAAAAAAAAAGCAAGCCCAAACAUUUGAGUGUACCCAAAUUAAUUCUGCUGUCACUUCAUCUGCCUAAUUGGGCCUAAAAAUAGCAAAAUAGCCUGUGGGAAGGAGGACCAGAAGCCUUGAAUGUCUGAAGCAAUUUGUAUCAAUUAUUUCCCAAUGUAGCAGUCACAAGUGAAAGCCCUUGCCUGAGUGCCUCCAUUAGCCAGGUGUCAGAGCUCUGUGUUUUUAUUCCAGGUUUUUCUCUGGGAACAAGGUGUGUGCACACCAAAAAGCACCACGGAGGAACUGGAGCCUUGGCAGGACCAGGAGGGUGCCCAGAGCAGCUCUGCAAGGAAAGUGAGUGCCUUCACUCCUCUGUCAUCACCAGUCCCUGAGAGCCAUCACCACCCACCAACAGUUCCUUGAGAUAAGGCCGAGCCAGCUGGGAGAAGAAAGCCUUUGAUAUUCCCUGCCUUGCUGACACUUGUAAACAGCGUUAACGUAAAGAUAACGCGUGCAGGGAGUGUGCCGUGGGUUACCACAAGCGAUGAAGGAUUUUGGGACGGUGCCAAGGCAGUUUCCCCCUCAACGCACUGUUUUUUUUCUGGAAGAAUUAUGCGAGAGCGGAAAAGUUGCAAUGGCGUUGCAGUUCCCUGCUCAGAAAAUGCCCAGGGAGGUGAAGCACGGCCAAGUGUUGCCAUUCAACUGCGCCACAGCUGGGAGCAUCAGGUUCAUUCCUAUUGUAAUCUGCAAAUGGCAAAACAGUGUUGCUCUUUUAUCAUAUCAUAUAUAUAUAUGAUAUAAAUAUAUCACAUUUAUUCAGGGGGAGCCAUAAUUUUCAUCUGUUUGGAAUGCACCAGAUGUGUUUUAAGCCCUGCAAACACACCGAGAGCUCCAGAGUUUGUAGUGCAGUUUUCUGCAGCACUGAUUUAUUUUAUAUUCCCGUAACCAUGCCCUGGGGUACCAGGUAGGCUCAAUACCAGGAGCAGGAGAAGCAGAAGAUGCUUUGGAUAGAGCCCAGCCAGGUUUUAGGCAGCCUGCAAAGUCUGGCCUUGCACUACAAAUCGGUCUGCUGUUGCCAUCUGCUGGAAAAAUCCCUAAUGGAUAUUUCCAAACGUAGGGAAGAGUGUCUGCUCCUGUCACAGAACUACUGGCGGCUUUUUCCCCUCUAGCUCCGUGUGAUCUGCCCAAGAGCAACGUGUGCCACAGGCUGUUACCGCCCUCUGCAGGGUGAAACACCUUCAGCCAAGGUCAGUGUAAGAGCAAAACAAUCCUUCCAACAACAGCCUGCUACUAGAGAGGCAAAAAAUUAUCCUUCCAAAGGAAUUCAUCCUUCUCCCUUUCAACUCUCCUGUUUCAUCACACCAUAGAAUGGUUUGGAUUGGAAGGGACCUUAAAAACGACCUAGUUCCACUCCCCUGUCCUGGGCAGGGACACCUUCCCCUCGGCCAGGUCGCUUUGCUGUGCCCCCAGAUCUGUCACCUGAGCUGAGCAGUCCCCAUUCCACACGUGUUCACACAGAGACCACGCAAACUUUGACACAAGUCCUAAAGAUCCUGUUCAUCCCAACACAUCAAAUCUAGAAUUUAUUUCUUUCUACACCCUUUGCACUUAUUUUUUUCUCAAACUGUCACGCUCAUAAAAAUAAUUCUGUGCCCUACUCCUAUGGGAUUUUCAGGGGUACUGGAUAUCACUUCCUUUUCCUUCAGAUAUCUUUUCUUCCUAGCAGGAGUCUUCAAAAUCCUUUCCUCCUCCUAAAGGCUCUGCGGCUCUUCACUCUGUAGAAGGUAAGAGCACACAGUAUGUGGGACAGGGAAAUCCCUUCUCGAUUGCAAGCGGCCUGAAGCCAUACAGGCUGCCGUUUGCCACAGGCAUCCUUAGCUCCAUGUCAUCAGGCCCCAGUCUAAUCUGGGAGGUGUAAUUGCCAUGGCAUUAAAUCCUGUGCUGGCGGCCGAUCGGCCCCAGCCGGUUGGACUGCACGGCCAGGAGCUGGUGCUCACCAGGGCAGGAAGGGUGAGCACCCCUGCUGCUGCUGCUGACGGGGCUUUAAAGUGUCCUGCUCAAAGGAGGGGUCCGUGGCAUGUGAAUCCUCCCCCAGCAGAGCUGAGACUAGCAGGACCCGUGACUGUGCUGUCUCUAAGCUACACUUACACUGCCUAAAAGCUGUCCUGCGGUGCGCCUUGGAUUUCCAGAAGAAGGGAUGUUGAGGGCAUAAAGCCUGGCCGGGGCGCCAGGGACUGUUUGAGGCAGCACAGGGAACUGGUCCCUCUUUGCCUGGUGGAGAAGGUGUGACAAGGAGUUAUCCCAAGCCAAGGCACCAUUGGCUGUGGCCAUUGGCCUCCAGCUGGCUCAGCAUGGGGACAGAGACAACCUGCACCUUUACAAACCUGUUUAUUAUUUACAGAGUCUCUAUUAACCUUCACUAGCAGAGUUAAGCAUCUUCAGUUUCCAAACUUCCAUACGCAGACCCCAAGCAUCUACUGUGGCCUGGAGGCCCUCUAGCAUGGGAGAGGAAAGAAUCUGCACCUGCACCAUCCAUGCUCUCACUUGAUGUGGAAAUUGUAAUGACAUUAUUGAGGCGUGUCCUCAAUGUGUCUCUUACUGCCUUGCCACUCGUGGAAGCCCAAGGCUGUGUUGUCCUAGUUUACCUUUCUGAUGUGGAGGAGCUGAACUGCCAAGGGAUGAGGAAUUUGGUGCUCUCUGUGGAGGGCCAUCCUGUAAAAUUUCUGUCCAGAAAUUCUGUCAUUAUGACUCCACUGCAUAAAGAAUGAAAUGGCCUGAUUGUCAGCAAUUUUUAUUUCUGCAAUAGUGUAAAAAUGUUUGAAUUUUAAUACUAUUUAUUAUUUUAAAAAUACAAAAUAUUUUAAAGCUUUAAAUGAUAGCUAAAAUAUACCUGAAAGCUAGAAAGAGCAAAUACAUAGAAUACUUCUCCCUCUUUGUAGAAUUUAAUUCAAAAAUAUGUUUUCAUUCAAAAAUAAGCUGAUGGGGAUGUGCUUUUAUGUUUUUAGUGACCUUUACAGAUUUACUCCUCAGGUUUUUUGAGUUCAUAGAAUCAUGGAAUAAUUCAGGUUGGAAAGGACUCCAAAGAUCACUUCAUUCCAAGCCUCCUGCCAUGGGCAGGGACAUUUUUCCCUAGAGCAGCUUGCUCAGAGCCUCAUCCCAGAGCACCAAUGGGCCUUGAACACUUCCAGGCACGGGGCAGCCCCAGCAUCCCAGAGCAACCUGUGCCAGCCAGGUGCCAGAGGAGGAAGAAAGCCCUUCCCACCUGGAGCAGAGGCUGCUGCAGCUUCGUGCAGCCUCGUGUCACCGAGUGUGUGAGACAGAAAGGCCCUUCCCAUGGAUGGAAAGCAGCACUGAAAGAUCUUUUUCGGGAAAAGCAGAGCGAUGGAACACCAAAGUAGCCUUCGGUUCUUCCAGCAGGUUUGGGAACAACUUGAAGGAGGAGCAGAGCUGGCCUGGUGCCUGCCAGCUCUGUAGGAAGUGGGGAUGGAGAAGCAGCAAUUUUCUGUCUUCUCGGCCGAGUCUUUAAAAAUGAGGCGCUUUUCUGUAGCUCCUUUUCAAGCAUUACAUGAAAGUUCCCCCUAGAAGUCCAAAGGCAGCUUUUUCUUAG
Molecule: long non-coding RNA, 8545 nt
Organism: Serinus canaria (Common canary)
Lineage: Eukaryota; Metazoa; Chordata; Aves; Passeriformes; Fringillidae
Exons: 18
Source: RefSeq, a predicted model, not a curated record